This 253-nucleotide ribosomal RNA is filed under the name uncultured bacterium. RNAcentral's name for it is "partial 16S ribosomal RNA". It matches the Rfam family "Bacterial small subunit ribosomal RNA", at positions 524 to 776 of the family's 1533-position model. The record is from RNAcentral.
UACGUAGGGUGCAAGCGUUGUCCGGAAUUAUUGGGCGUAAAGGGCUCGUAGGCGGUCCAUCGCGUCGGGAGUGAAAAGCUGGGGCUUAACCCCAGUCCUGCUUUCGAUACGGGUGGACUAGAGGUAGGCAGGGGAGAACGGAAUUCCUGGUGUAGCGGUGAAAUGCGCAGAUAUCAGGAGGAACACCAGCGGCGAAGGCGGUGCUCUGGGCCGGAACUGACACUGAGGAGCGAAAGCGUGGGUAGCAAACAGG